Long non-coding RNA from Lycium barbarum (goji berry), 3787 nucleotides. RefSeq lists it as uncharacterized. The transcript is spliced from 2 exons. The record is from RefSeq and is a predicted model, not a curated record. NCBI's taxonomy places the organism in Eukaryota, Viridiplantae, Streptophyta, Magnoliopsida, Solanales, Solanaceae.
AAAACCAAACGAACCCAAAAAACCCCAACGUAAACCACAGCUGGAAAAUGCCAUUUCUGGCUAAAAUUCCAGCUCACUUUCACGAGGUUCAGCCCUUGUUAGCCCAUUUAAGGCAAGAAAUUAAUGCUUCUUUGUCUUCUUGCUCACAGAGAUAAACGGUAACACCCUUUUCCCAUUUUUUUUUUAAAUUUUUGAAGAAGAAUUCAAACUUCCUUGAGAAGAUUUGGGUUUCAAAGGAAAUCCCAAAAUAUUUUCAAUCUGAAGUCCAGUCCCACAUCGGUUGCACUUUUUUCAGACCCAACAUUUGGGGUUCUAUAAAUAAAACCCCUUUCUCUUCAUUUUAAAAAAAGUUCAGAGGCCAAAAAAUUGGUCUUUACACUUCAAAUGGGCUUUCGUCAACCCCAAGAGUGAGAACACUCAGAGACCCGGCUAUGCCGUUGAUUUUCGAGGAAGUUCUCGCUCAAGUUUAUUUUUUGGAAGUCGUUUCCGUUCGUCGGAAAUCGAUUCCGGGUGAAAGGUCGUUCGUCGACUCUCGUCGCUCCGUCGCUGCAUGCAAAAAAGGUAGAUAAGGAGAUGGUUCGGAUUCAUAGGCUGCCAUCUCAGCGUUGGUACAGGAGCACUCCACUUGUUCCGGAGUCGUAGUCCAGUUGGUAUGGUUUUAUGUACAGAUGGGUAUGGCGGGGUUUUGUCCCGUCCUUAUUAUGUUAUGAUUCCAGUAGAGGCUCGUAUACAGAUAUGUACAGCUAGAUGUCUGGUGACCUUCUCGGUCCCUCUUGUGUUGCAUCACUGUUUUGGUAGCCUAGUCGGCUCGAGUGCUUGAGACCAGCUUGAUGAUGUAUAUAUGUAUGUAUCUUUUGGGCUUGUGUCCCUUACAGUUUAUGGCAUUUAAUAGUUAGCAUUAUGGCCCACUCAGGUAUGGAUAUGAGAUGCAUGUACAUAUUGUGGUGCUCGGUAGGUUAGCUUCGGGUGCCCGUCAUGGCCCUCUUGUUGGGUCGUGAUAGUGUAGAUGCCUUUAAAUGAACCAGAUUUCCAGAUUCUCAGCUUUAAAAGGUAAUGUUCACCCCUACCAAGUUAGAAACUUGUUACAGGGGCCUGUUAAAAUUGUUUUUUCUAAGUGCUUUUCGUAAGCUACAACAGCCUUCUAAUUAAGUGAGUAUAGGAUUUCCAGUUCUCAUUAUUUCCCUUCCUUAAGCUAGAACCUAACUCUAAAAAAUUUAUCCUUGAGAAUAGAAGCCUACUGUUAAAUAUGAUUGGCCUGGAUGUAUUCAAAGUGAUCUAUUGUUCCCUUGUCAAGGGUUUUAAACUACCUAAAUAGUGAAAGAUGUUUCUUGUUCUGUCAUCUAAAUCAAUUUGGGAACUAAAGUGUAGAUAUCUGCUUUACUAGUUUCUAUUUCUAGCUAGCCAUUGGGUCAUGAUUGAGGUCCCGGAGAUUUGUUGUUGUUUGGGUUAGCUGAUUGGUUUUUCUUUUUUUUUUUUUUUUUUGCCUGAUAGAAGGAUGUGUUUAAUUGUUCUGCCUUUGCUUGCAAAUAGUCAAGUCAGAGGCUUAUUCACAUGUGGCAAGAGUCAUCUGUUUCUGUCUUUAAAUUUGUAUAAGGAUUUGACAUAAAUGCCUUAGUUUGCACCUUGGAAAAUUUCAGAUUCAUAUGAGUAGGUACUAACAUGAGAUAUAAAGUGCCAUUAAAUUAAUGACAUGAUAUAAAGUGUCUUUUCCUUUACCAAAUCAUUGACUACCCCAAAUAUACCCUUAAGUCAAGUUCUUUCAUGUUCUUAAUCUUAAAGAUAACUUGUAAAAUCUGGAUAUUCUUUUAUGACAUAAGGCUGUUUUUAUGUGCUAGUCUACUUUAAGAAUCUGUGACUUUGCCUAGUAUUUUGACCCUUGACUAAGUGGUGAUGACCAUUCAAUAAGUGAGAUGUCUUUUGCCAUAACUUUGUUGGAACUGUUCAUUUGGGAUACUCAUCCUUCACUUCUCUUUUCUUUUUUCUUUGAAAUACUUGGGGGACUUUGCUUCUCAAAUGCUCCUGAGGUGCUGCUGAUUUGGGAAGUGACUGCUACUGGUUGUUACUGGUUUCUCUGUGAAUGUGUUGCUGCUUCUUUGGAAGGGCAAACUACUGCUAUCUAUUAGUUGUUGCCCACUGCUGAUUGAAAGGGUUCAUGUAAGUGUGUUACUAUACUUGGUCUUGAACUACUACUGAUCUCUAGAGAAUUGCUGCAUUUUGAGAAGGUGGCUGAGCUGUCACUUUGAUGAACUGUUGCAUCUUUAGAGAUACCAUUUUGGGGCUGGAAUUUAUUAUAUGCUGAUGCUACAUGUUAGCAUCAACCAAUAUUCAUCUUGAAUUGGAUUUGAGGCAAACUUCCUGGAGCAAGCAGAUGCUCUCAAUUUGUCUUUGUUCUACAAAAAUGAACAGAUGAUACACUGGUUGAGAACUUGCUGCAUUUGGCUGAGACACUUUAAAUUGUUGUACUUUAGCAUUUGUGCCUUGGAUGAGUUAACUGGCCUUUUGUUGAAAAAGGAAAUGAACAGAUGUUAUUUUAAAAAUUGAGAAAUAUGUUGCUGUUGAGCUGCUAUAAUUUGGGCUAAGAUGUUAGUGUCUUCUGAGGGUAUUGCUGCACCUUGGUUGCUUCAUUUAGCUGAUGCUUUCACUAAAAAGGAACAAAUUCUACAAAUGACUAAAGAAGGGUUGUUGUUUGGCAUAUGUUGCUGAGAAAAGCUACUGCUUUGAUGAGAAUAUGUUGAUGUCUUUUGAUGAAGCAGGCUGUGCCAUAGUUUGAUAGAUUAUUUUGAGGGCAACUCGAUGCUGUGUUCUGAGCCAAAGUGCUGCUGCACUUUCAGGCAAGCAGAAGCUGCAUUCUGACCAGUUUGCUGCUAUUCACUUGUUGUUUUGAAUUGAAUCAUGUUGUGGGAAACCUAUAUGUUUCUAGGAUCAGAUGCUGCACUUGAUGAGUUUUGAAUCAUGAUUAUUAAACAACUUAUGUGUUUCAGAGUUCAGAAAACUACACUUGAUAAAAACUCACUGAUAUGAACUGAUUCUACACUUGGUUUUUUUUAGAUAUCACAUCUUAAACUGAUUUGAACAUGAUACUACACAAGGGCCAAUGAAAAAAUGAUUUUUUUCUGGCCAUGCCUUGUCCGGAAAGGUUAUCCCUCAGUUUAGGCAAUGAUAAUUUCAUAGUGAUAUCACGAGGUAGGAACCAACAUGCGCUUGGCAAGGCAACUAGAAUGGCCACUAGUUUGCAGCCGCAACACGAUUCGGGUUCCUUUGCCAUAUUCGGAACCGUGAGUCCGAGCCUCGGUGAUCAAAGCUCUCAAAGUUUGAUACGAGUCCGAGGGAUAUUAUUAUUUAUAUUCAUAAACGUCACCCUAUGGGGUGGCGUAUCAUUUGACUAACUAUUUUCAUUUCAUUCUUGUGAGGUACGUCUAAUUAAUAUGGGUCCGCGAGAUGAGAUUCUACCAAAGACAAAGUGAAGUAAAGUUGAAAGCCCGACAACUCGGAUGAAGGACUAGAAGAGCAUAGCAGAACGAGAACAAGACUAUUGAAUGAUUUGGGUCCAAGGCCAUAAAAUCCUAAACUUUUCUUCCCCUUCUUGUAGUAUAGUUUUACAUUAUUUUCUGUGUGAACAGUCAAAAAAUGCAUUUGUAGGGAUAUUGAAACCCUUAUAAGUUAGAACCUAGGAUUUUGUUAAACAUUAUGAGUAGGGCCCGAAUGUGUUUCAAAUUUAGUCCGAAUGAUAAAGGAGUUGUAUUCCAUUUGUUUAAAGUAAAUAAAAGUGAGAAUUUUUAUCAGUGAA